This 2901-nucleotide ribosomal RNA is filed under the name Escherichia coli. Its description in RNAcentral is "23S ribosomal RNA". It matches the Rfam family "Bacterial large subunit ribosomal RNA". The record is from RNAcentral. Lineage: Bacteria; Pseudomonadati; Pseudomonadota; Gammaproteobacteria; Enterobacterales; Enterobacteriaceae.
GGUUAAGCGACUAAGCGUACACGGUGGAUGCCCUGGCAGUCAGAGGCGAUGAAGGACGUGCUAAUCUGCGAUAAGCGUCGGUAAGGUGAUAUGAACCGUUAUAACCGGCGAUUUCCGAAUGGGGAAACCCAGUGUGUUUCGACACACUAUCAUUAACUGAAUCCAUAGGUUAAUGAGGCGAACCGGGGGAACUGAAACAUCUAAGUACCCCGAGGAAAAGAAAUCAACCGAGAUUCCCCCAGUAGCGGCGAGCGAACGGGGAGGAGCCCAGAGCCUGAAUCAGUGUGUGUGUUAGUGGAAGCGUCUGGAAAGGCGCGCGAUACAGGGUGACAGCCCCGUACACAAAAAUGCACAUGCUGUGAGCUCGAUGAGUAGGGCGGGACACGUGGUAUCCUGUCUGAAUAUGGGGGACCAUCCUCCAAGGCUAAAUACUCCUGACUGACCGAUAGUGAACCAGUACCGUGAGGGAAAGGCGAAAAGAACCCCGGCGAGGGGAGUGAAAAGAACCUGAAACCGUGUACGUACAAGCAGUGGGAGCACAGAGCAAUCUGUGUGACUGCGUACCUUUGUAUAAUGGGUCAGCGACUUAUAUUCUGUAGCAAGGUUAACCGAAUAGGGGAGCCGAAGGGAAACCGAGUCUUAACUGGGCGUUAAGUUGCAGGGUAUAGACCCGAAACCCGGUGAUCUAGCCAUGGGCAGGUUGAAGGUUGGGUAACACUAACUGGAGGACCGAACCGACUAAUGUUGAAAAAUUAGCGGAUGACUUGUGGCUGGGGGUGAAAGGCCAAUCAAACCGGGAGAUAGCUGGUUCUCCCCGAAAGCUAUUUAGGUAGCGCCUCGUGAAUUCAUCUCCGGGGGUAGAGCACUGUUUCGGCAAGGGGGUCAUCCCGACUUACCAACCCGAUGCAAACUGCGAAUACCGGAGAAUGUUAUCACGGGAGACACACGGCGGGUGCUAACGUCCGUCGUGAAGAGGGAAACAACCCAGACCGCCAGCUAAGGUCCCAAAGUCAUGGUUAAGUGGGAAACGAUGUGGGAAGGCCCAGACAGCCAGGAUGUUGGCUUAGAAGCAGCCAUCAUUUAAAGAAAGCGUAAUAGCUCACUGGUCGAGUCGGCCUGCGCGGAAGAUGUAACGGGGCUAAACCAUGCACCGAAGCUGCGGCAGCGACACUGUGUGUUGUUGGGUAGGGGAGCGUUCUGUAAGCCUGUGAAGGUGUGCUGUGAGGCAUGCUGGAGGUAUCAGAAGUGCGAAUGCUGACAUAAGUAACGAUAAAGCGGGUGAAAAGCCCGCUCGCCGGAAGACCAAGGGUUCCUGUCCAACGUUAAUCGGGGCAGGGUGAGUCGACCCCUAAGGCGAGGCCGAAAGGCGUAGUCGAUGGGAAACAGGUUAAUAUUCCUGUACUUGGUGUUACUGCGAAGGGGGGACGGAGAAGGCUAUGUUGGCCGGGCGACGGUUGUCCCGGUUUAAGCGUGUAGGCUGGUUUUCCAGGCAAAUCCGGAAAAUCAAGGCUGAGGCGUGAUGACGAGGCACUACGGUGCUGAAGCAACAAAUGCCCUGCUUCCAGGAAAAGCCUCUAAGCAUCAGGUAACAUCAAAUCGUACCCCAAACCGACACAGGUGGUCAGGUAGAGAAUACCAAGGCGCUUGAGAGAACUCGGGUGAAGGAACUAGGCAAAAUGGUGCCGUAACUUCGGGAGAAGGCACGCUGAUAUGUAGGUGAAGUCCCUCGCGGAUGGAGCUGAAAUCAGUCGAAGAUACCAGCUGGCUGCAACUGUUUAUUAAAAACACAGCACUGUGCAAACACGAAAGUGGACGUAUACGGUGUGACGCCUGCCCGGUGCCGGAAGGUUAAUUGAUGGGGUCAGCGCAAGCGAAGCUCUUGAUCGAAGCCCCGGUAAACGGCGGCCGUAACUAUAACGGUCCUAAGGUAGCGAAAUUCCUUGUCGGGUAAGUUCCGACCUGCACGAAUGGCGUAAUGAUGGCCAGGCUGUCUCCACCCGAGACUCAGUGAAAUUGAACUCGCUGUGAAGAUGCAGUGUACCCGCGGCAAGACGGAAAGACCCCGUGAACCUUUACUAUAGCUUGACACUGAACAUUGAGCCUUGAUGUGUAGGAUAGGUGGGAGGCUUUGAAGUGUGGACGCCAGUCUGCAUGGAGCCGACCUUGAAAUACCACCCUUUAAUGUUUGAUGUUCUAACGUGGACCCGUGAUCCGGGUUGCGGACAGUGUCUGGUGGGUAGUUUGACUGGGGCGGUCUCCUCCUAAAGAGUAACGGAGGAGCACGAAGGUUGGCUAAUCCCGGUCGGACAUCAGGAGGUUAGUGCAAUGGCAUAAGCCAGCUUGACUGCGAGCGUGACGGCGCGAGCAGGUGCGAAAGCAGGUCAUAGUGAUCCGGUGGUUCUGAAUGGAAGGGCCAUCGCUCAACGGAUAAAAGGUACUCCGGGGAUAACAGGCUGAUACCGCCCAAGAGUUCAUAUCGACGGCGGUGUUUGGCACCUCGAUGUCGGCUCAUCACAUCCUGGGGCUGAAGUAGGUCCCAAGGGUAUGGCUGUUCGCCAUUUAAAGUGGUACGCGAGCUGGGUUUAGAACGUCGUGAGACAGUUCGGUCCCUAUCUGCCGUGGGCGCUGGAGAACUGAGGGGGCUGCUCCUAGUACGAGAGGACCGGAGUGGACGCAUCACUGGUGUUCGGGUUGUCAUGCCAAUGGCACUGCCCGGUAGCUAAAUGCGGAAGAGAUAAGUGCUGAAAGCAUCUAAGCACGAAACUUGCCCCGAGAUGAGUUCUCCCUGACCCUUUAAGGGUCCUGAAGGAACGUUGAAGACGACGACGUUGAUAGGCCGGGUGUGUAAGCGCAGCGAUGCGUUGAGCUAACCGGUACUAAUGAACCGUGAGGCUUAACCUU